GGGACAACCCGCCGAAAGGCGGGCUAAACCCGCGUACAUGCCACCGGGGCAUCCCGGAGGCAGGAAAGGCUUCGGCCGGACAGGGAUGGGCAUGCGGCGCAUUAGGCAGUAGGCGGGGUAACGGCCCACCUAACCGACGAUGCGUAGGGGUUCUGAGAGGAAGGUCCCCCACACUGGUACUGAGACACGGACCAGACUCCUACGGGAGGCAGCAGUGAGGAAUAUUGGUCAAUGGUCGGGAGACUGAACCAGCCAAGCCGCGUGAGGGAGGAAGGUACAGAGUAUCGUAAACCUCUUUUGUCAGGGAACAAAGACUGGGACGCGUCCCCGGAUGAGUGUACCUGAAGAAAAAGCAUCGGCUAACUCCGUGCCAGCAGCCGCGGUAAUACGGAGGAUGCGAGCGUUAUCCGGAUUUAUUGGGUUUAAAGGGUGCGUAGGCGGUCUGUUAAGUCAGCGGUCAAAGCCCGGGGCUCAACCCCGGCCCGCCGUUGAAACUGGCAGUCUCGAGUUGGAGAGAAGUAUGCGGAAUGCGCGGUGUAGCGGUGAAAUGCAUAGAUAUCGCGCAGAACUCCGAUUGCGAAGGCAGCAUGCCGGCUCCACACUGACGCUGAGGCACGAAAGCGUGGGUAUCGAACAGGAUUAGAUACCCUGGUAGUCCACGCAGUAAACGAUGAAUGAUGGCUGUCCG
RNAcentral lists this ribosomal RNA (688 nucleotides) under uncultured bacterium. RNAcentral's name for it is "bacterial SSU rRNA". It matches the Rfam family "Bacterial small subunit ribosomal RNA", at positions 140 to 826 of the family's 1533-position model. The record is from RNAcentral.